GCCAGUAGCCAUAUCGCCCUGCAACUCACAACUGGCAACCCACUGAAGCUCAGCAGGUGUGAGCCUGAUCAGUACCUGGAUGGGAGACCUCCUGGGAAAAAAAAGGUUGCUGCUGGAA
Molecule: ribosomal RNA, 118 nt
Organism: Lepisosteus oculatus (spotted gar)
Lineage: Eukaryota; Metazoa; Chordata; Actinopteri; Semionotiformes; Lepisosteidae
Source: Rfam